CUCAACAGCGAUGACGAGCCACCAAAUCCGCAAGAUAUUGAGCCACUUGGUUAGGACUAAGUGCAAUGGCUGAUGAUGUUUUGAAUCACCUUUGAAUCUUUGGACCACAUCCUACUUACCUACUGGACUGAAAACUACAUACAGCCUUUUUUCAACUGUUCACCAGCAGUGAAAGCUUAUCAGCGUCAAACCCCAAACCAACAUGUUGUGAAGGGAAUGAUGUGGUGACCCAUUUGGUUCCACAUAAAUGAGAGUCGAUGUUUACGCACUGUAAAUAACAUCUCUCUGCAAUGUUAGAAACCCCUGUACUCCUUAUACCUAAUAAAUGUAUUGCAAGUAGCAUGUGAAGUUCACAUU
This is a long non-coding RNA of Amblyraja radiata (thorny skate), 357 nucleotides long. RefSeq lists it as uncharacterized. The record is from RefSeq and is a predicted model, not a curated record. The transcript has 2 exons. Lineage: Eukaryota; Metazoa; Chordata; Chondrichthyes; Rajiformes; Rajidae.